GGGCUCGACUACCAAAUAUUCGUAUGUAUUAUUAAUGUUUUUAAUGCUCCAUUUAUUGGCAUUAUGUUUUUCUGGUCUGUGCGUACGUUCGUCCGUUCGUCUGUUUGUUUGUCCAGCUUCAAGUUAAAUAAAAUUGAAACUUAGUACACAUUUUCCCUAUAGUAUGAUCUUUUUAAUUCUAAUGCCAAAUUACAGUUUUAUCCCAUUUUCAUAGUCCACUAAACAUAGAAAAUGAUAGUGUAGAUGAGGCAUCCGUGUACUAGGGACACAUUCAUGUUUCUUCAAAUUUUCGUCGUAUCGCUGUCAAUUUGUGUUAAAAUUUGAACGUCGAUAUCAAUAAAUAUUUCAUUGUUUACGAGAAAUAUGCA
This 368-nucleotide long non-coding RNA is filed under the name Mytilus galloprovincialis (Mediterranean mussel). The record is from RNAcentral. Lineage: Eukaryota; Metazoa; Mollusca; Bivalvia; Mytilida; Mytilidae.